This is a non-coding RNA of Pelobates cultripes (western spadefoot toad), 10609 nucleotides long. The record is from the annotation of a GenBank genome assembly. NCBI's taxonomy places the organism in Eukaryota, Metazoa, Chordata, Amphibia, Anura, Pelobatidae.
GGGGGGUUGGAAUAGGUUUGGGUCUUGUCAUUGUACUGAUCCUGCAGCCUCUGCAAGAGCAGGGCUGCUGAUAUUUGGGAGAAAAAGACCUUAAGAAAUCAUAUGAAUUCGUAAUAAACAUUACAGCUGUUUGCUGCUCCAGACAUUAGAAAGCGGCAGAUCUUUCAAAGCAGAGGAAGACGACCCCUCUGGAUCAAGGACAGGAUGCUAUAAAGGAGGGUCACGGGCCUACGAAAAAUCCUAUAAAGAAGGAAGAUCUUAAAAGUAGAAUCCCAUUCGCAGCAGAAGGUCCCAGCUGUUUCUGCAUCCUAUUUAAUUGGCGUCCUGAAAAUUUGACCACAAUUACAAUUUCCCCAAGGAUAGGUAUAUAAUUCAUUUUCAUGCAGUCCCAGAAUUAUUCUCUUAUUCUGCUUAAUCCCACGGGGGAGCUGCAGGGGAAACAGUGAUUGUAUCUGUGCGGAGAUAGAACGUGGUCACUGAUUUGAUACAGAGAGACAUUGAGAAAUUUUCUGUCGUACAAAACUCAAUUUCUUUUCAUUCAGCUUCUUUUUUUUCUAAAAAGGUAUCAUCCUUUUGGAUUGACGGAACCAUGAAGUAUCAAGGAAAUCUAUAACGGAUCAGGCCUCCGAUCCUAUAGGGAAUUUGGAAUACACUGCGAAUCCCAGCAUCUCAAAUGUGAUUUUUGGCUGAAACCUAUACGUUUUAUUUCUCUCCCUUAUGAGAUCAGGAUAUUCUGUAGAAUUUCCAAAAUAAAAUAAAAAGAGAGGAAAAUUCCAUCAUCUUGUCAUCUGGAUUUAGUGGAUGUAAAAAUAUAUUUGCUCACUACCAAUUCCUACAUGUUGAGCAAAUUAUUAUUUUUUUAAAUGUUUUUUUAUUGAAAUCUGAGCAAACGAUUACGAUUUUUUUUUUCUCCCACCAAACCAUUGAUAAGAAGAAGGUAAUCCAGACCUGCAAAGUGAAAUUGUAUUGAGGCAAAUUGAUCCUUACACUUUUUUUGUUGUUCCUUUGAAGCCUCGUAAAAAGACAUGCUCGUUAAUAAACUUACAAUUCGCACAAAGAAACAGAAAAACACAGCGAUAUCAUUCUUUUAAUUCUCUGCUAUUUUCUGAUAGUUGUGUCUGGUUACUCUUAAUUUCCUCUUCAAUUAGAGGAUUUGUGUCUUCAUGAAUAAAUUGUCUUUUCCUCUGGUUGGAUAUUUAUAGUACCCAUAAACAAACAACGGAUUAGAGAGACGCACUAAGAAAGCAGAAAAUUCAAGACAGAAAGUUGGAGGUAUAAGUCUCUACAAGCCAAUAAAUAUUCCGUGAAAUUAUAGAUGCUUUGGAGACCUUUGAAAUGUUUAUUUUUUUUGGUUUAUUACUGUAAUAAUCAGAGGUCUUCAGAUUGUUAUAUGCAUGCUGUUAUUUAUUUUAUUUUUUUCAUUCAGUAACAUUAGUGCUAUACAAUGGCUAAACAAGUAAUUCAUGCAAAAAUAAAAAUAAAUAGCAGGCAGAUUUGAAGAUACGUCUCCAAUAGGAAUGUGGGGUAACGAUACAUGUGCAGUGUAGUCACAGGGAAGAUGGAUGUAAAGGAAGAGGGAAGCCUUAUCUAUUUAUAUACCUCGCUUAUAUAAAUGAUGUGACAUUUGCAGGACAGGUGCUAUAGAGUAAGAAGGUGUAAUGAAGUUAAAAUAAACAGUGGGAUGAUUAGUUGCACAAUCUGAUCGUUAUACUGCAAUUAUACAUAUAUCUGACUUUUUCUGUAGAGCUGUUACAUGAAUGUGCAAUGAAUUCACAAGACCCAGUGUUAGAUAUCAGGAUACAACAUGAUAAAGAAUAGGAUAUAAGACCUUGUUUGCGGAUGUGCCACUGUGUCUUCCACAUUAAAUAUUCUAGGUAGGGGAGUUGUCCUAAUUGCAAAGUCAUGUUUUAGUGUAUUUGAUGGAAAGGCGUGCAUGCAGAGCUUAAGGAUAUGCCUACUUGAGUACGGGUGUAAGAAACUAUCAGGUUCUAAAAAUUAAGACACAUAACUAAUGUCCUAUAUGCACAUUUUUUUUAUUUUUAUUCCGACUCACACGGAUGAGAUCCAGAGGAAUUGCAAGCUAAACCUUACACAAAUAGCUAAUGCUGGCUUAUGGAGCAUGUUAACUAUCCCAUUUGGUAUUAUUACAUGAUAAAAAAAAAAAGGCUACAUGUACAUGCGGCUUGGUAUUCUGUACACAGGACAGUAUAUGCUGUAUACAUGAUAGCAUACCUAACAGGGCCAGAGUAGAGGUGUGCCAAUGUAGCAUGUGCAUCACAAUGACACAGUUUGCCCAGAAAGUGGACAUGCUAGCGUAGUACGCAUGUUCAUUGAGUGACAACCAGAUCCUGCAAGUCUGCCAACCAAAGCUACCCAUACAGUGAGUGCUGGGACAUGGCACAAAUACAGCCUAUAUGAAAUGGACUGGAUAGCCAGAAGCUGUUCCAUGCAAGACAGCUAGGGUCCCUGGAAAAGUCCAAUUUAAAUAAAAUUUAGAUUUGUAUUAACUGUGAUCCGAUGUAUAUAUUGCUUUCUCACUGGGCAAAGCUAUAACUGGGAAUAAAACAGGGACACUGAGGUUCUGCAUCCCCAAGCUACAUACAUUUCUGAUAUCAGAUGGUGUGCAUGCAAACAGAAUCAGCACGUUAACCUUGUAAACUCACGCAGCUGCCGUAUCCCAGUGGGAAGUGGGUAGGAUGGGGUGUGGAGGCAGAGGCCAGACACAAUUCUCAACACUGACAAAGCAUGGAGAGAAACUGAGGGUGACAAGCAUAUUUACAUUCUGAUGACAUUUGGAGGAUUUAUUCUGCCUUCACCAAAAUACCUAUAGAUUCUUUGCUACUAUCCAUCGACUAUGCAUUUGACCUUAUAUUAUAAAAUUGCUACAUUUAAAUUUUUUUCUGAAACCUGCUAGAAGCAUUGUAAAAGAAAGGGUACAUUGUAAUCUCUAAUACAUUAUAUCGCCUUACCUCUCAUUUUCUCAAACUAUUAACUUACAGAAAUUCUAUAAAUGUAUAUAUAAUGAUUUCUUUUUUACCGCUUUCCUUGACUACAAGUUAUAAACAAAAUUGGUUCUACCCGUGCAUAUAUAUAUAAAAUAUUGUAAUAAUAUAUUUCCAAAACAAAUUAUCAAUAUUAAAGGGUUUCAUCAUAUUUCUGAUUCAUCUAUAUAUUCACUUAGCAGUAUUGAUUGUAUGUACCGGUAUAGUAAUUUUUAUUAUCUAUACAUUAUGUCACAAAACGAAUGUCAAUUCCUUCAUUUUAAAUUGGUCCAAUAGUGCUAGAAACACAAUUUAAUUGACAUUCUACUGCGCAUAUACAAAAAAAAAAAAAAAAUCACUUAACUGUUUAGUAGAUAUAUUCCUAAUGAAAACAUGCACGCAUUUAAUUAUGCAUUUUUUAUUGGGAAUAUAUCUAAAAACAGCUUGCAAAAACUGCAGAGCUCUUGUCUGCAGCCUUUGCAAAGCCUUUUAGUCUAACCCCGCCCAGACUUUUUGUGGCUGUCCAAUCACAGCUAUCCCAAUUCAGCUCAAUCAGAAGGCUUUGUAAGGCAGGUGCUCUGGGCAAUUGCAGCCUCUUGAGUUUAAUUUAACUCCACUGAGCUAACCAAACCAUAAAGUAAAAUUACCUGUUUUCUGCUUGAAAGCCAGGGGAUGUCACAAGGUUAAUUGAUAAAAGUGCCAAUUUCUAAAAUCAGCACUUUUGGUAAAAUGAAAAAAAAAGAGGACAACCUCUUCACAUGUAAAGCCCUUCGGCAAGCUGAAGUGCUACAGGGGUCUUUAGUGUCCCUUUAACAAGUAACAGAAUUGGAUAACCAGUGGGAGACAUUAGAUCACAAUUUAAGCAAUCAGAUGUAAACUGCAAUGAGCAUGAAUUACACAGUUUAUCACUACUACAUUUUGGUACUAUGCUGCAUUUAUUAUUAUAAAUAUCACCCAUCACUACCUGAAGAAUCACCCCACGACAUUAUCUGAGAAUAACAAAUAUAACAUAGCAGACACAUCUGCUUGCACCAACAUGUGACGCAAACAACUCAGCACACAGAAAGAAUUCCAUAAAAUGAUGGCGAUAAUGAAACAUUAUAGGCAUUAAACACUGCUAGAGUAACAUAGAAUACUAUAUGAGUGAUAUAGGUAUGUGAUUGAUUAAAAUGUGUUAGCUAGCAUAUUUUCUUUCACUAUGAGGCCUGUGUGUUUGUUUUGAAUAUUUUUAUUGUUGUCAUGUCAUAAUCUCGCGCAUCAAACAUAUUUUCAUUAAAGCGGGUGGUCACUUACGCAGAGGCGCGGGUAUCGGUGUAUGAAAAUAAAUGCGGAUUGUCGCCCGCACAGAGGCGGGUAUAUUGGUUCAUUUAAGCGUGCAUAGAUUUUUCAGAUUUUUCUAUGUCUUGGCAUACAUAACUCUAAAUCAAGCAAACAUAAGACAGUAGUAGUCUGGCUCAGUGUUCCAGUGUUCAUGACAAUAUGAAAGGCAAUAUGUGGUAUGUGUCAGGCUAAUUACUCAGGCGCGGUUACCGAUGCAGAUUUUCAUAUCAUGAACAGAUAAUGUGUAUCGGUCUGCGUGUGAUAAAGGUAUGUUUAGUAACUAAAUCUUAGUCGAUGCGUGUGUGCUGUUGCAUUGAUUAGUCAAACUUAGGUAAGGCAGGUAACGUUAGCGAGCCCAUGGGGAAGUGUAGUGAAGUGUUCAGACCUUGUGUGACAAUAGUAAAUCAUGUCUAUUAGUGCUAUAACUGCGUCUAGUGAGCUGCGGAAGAGGCAUGCAAUAUAACUGAAUUUGUAAAAAAUUAAUAGUGUGAACUUUAAAACUUUUAGCAAUAUAAGAGCCAGGCUGGCCUUAAAGGGAAACUCCAGUGCCAGGAAAACAAUCCGUUUUCCUGGCACUGCAGGUCCCCUCUCCCUCCCACCCCCCAAUCCCCGGUUGCUGAAGUGGUGAAAACCUCCUUCAGUAACUUACCUGAGGCAGCGACGAUGUCCCUCGUCGCUGCUUCCUCCUCCGCCGCCGCUCCUCCUCUGCAUUGCGUCGGCCAGUGGGCUGGGGAUACCUAAUGCGCAUGUGCGGCUCCCCAUAGGAAAGCAUUGAAAAUGGGGAAAUGAGCGACGCUGGAAGUCCUCACAUAGCGUUUCCUGUGCUAGAAACCAGUAAGUGCCCUCUAGUGGCUGUCUAGUAGACAGCCACUAGAGGUGGAGUUAACCCUGCAAUGUAAUUAUUGCAGUUUAUAAAAAACUGCAAUAACUACACUUGCAGGGUUAAGAAUAGUGGGAGUUUGCACCCAGACCACUCCAAUGGGUAGAAGUCGUCUGGGUGCCUGGAGUGUCCCUUUACUAUCAGUUCGGUGAGGGCCUCUCAUGACACAACUGCCGUGCAUUUCCCCGGCCGCCGAGUCUCCAUCUGUCUUCCACGCAACAACCCCCGCCCAUCACCAGAGUCCUCAAUGGCUUUGUGGGCACUCGGGAGCAGAGGCAGUCCAUACGACUCCCACACCUUGAGUACACGGGCCUCCCUCUCCCUGCACCUCCCCAUCACCAUCCAAGACUCGGGGGAGUGCGUGACCUAAUGUCUCUCCCAGUGCCGGCCACAUACUUGGUGCCGGCACGCGCCCCCCCGGCCACCGGAGGUGCCGCGCAGUCCCGCCCCACGGCAUCAGGGACUUGGCACCCCGGGGACCCCACAGACCCAGAGGCCUGCUCACUCACUUUUCCAGCGGGCAGGCGGCCACCGCGGGGAUCCAUCCAGCACUCUGCUGCACCUAAGUCCGCUCGGGCCGUCCAGAUCAGCCCCCCAUGGUUAGUGUUCCUCUCUGCUACUCCUUCUCUGGUGUUACAAGGUUUAUUUAAGAAGUGCAAUAGGGCGCAGCCGCGUCUGGUCUUUAGCCUCUGUAACCUCUGUGGGGGCUCUUGGUUCUUUAAUCCCAAUCAGGGUGUCUAGGCAAUGAACUGCUCCUUUUUCCAGGCAAUGCGCAGUUUGGGAUCUGUAUGUCACUCUACCAGAGCUUUCUUUUUCCCUCCGUGUCUUCUUCUGCUGGCUUGCUGUCUCCUCCACAGCCUUUGCCAGUGUAGGCAGCCAGCGAGCAUUCCGCGCGGGAGCCCUCGUUGCAGUUCGGGUCGCCGCCAUGCGGCCGGGAUAACCCUCGCCGGCUUAAGAGGGGGGGGGCAGGGCUGCGCCCUGGGUCUGGUGUGUACCCCCCAACCUGGAGGCUUCAUCUGUGCGGUAUCUCCCGAUCGGGUGUCUCGGGGGCUGUGUCUCUCUGCGGCUCCUUGCAGCGUGUAGCGGCCGUGGGUGGCCUGGUGUUCUGCCGCGUGUAGGCAGCGUGCGGCAUCUGUUGCCGGCCCGGCUUGCAAUAAGUUUAGUGUCAGCGGCUGUGAUAUGCCGGGGCUGUACCCUGUGUAUGGCUGUCAUGAUGUCCGACUUGUAAGCAGCCGGGGUUGGUUUGGUACGCCUUUUUGCUCGGGUUAGUGCUGGAUCCCAUGUACAUGGCAUCCAGUGGGCCCGGCGGCCCAGCCCCGCCCCAGGCCUGUGUGUUUGAAUAACCUUUAUAAAAGAGCAGUUUUGUAUUGACCUUUUCGUUCUUCUGUAGUGCACAAAAUUAAAGUUCUGGAUUUUGCUGUUUGCAAACUAGGACAUAACAUCCACUGAGUUCUUCCGUCAGAACAUUCGUAGCGACAUUGUUCAAGGUUCUAACAGGUCCUCUUUAUUUGACAGCAAUGUGGUGGGCUCCCAAUUAAAAUGGAAUUGCUGAAUAAAUUGUGAAAUUCUUUUGGUGGAUAUGGUGUAUGUUACUUUGGCUACGGUGUGUGUACUGAAUAGUUUACUUUGUGUUGGAUGUAUGAGGUCUGGAUUAAUUCUGGUUAGGUUUGUAUUUAGUAUUUAUCAUGUUUGGAUAAUUCCAUAAACCAAAAUUAUGAAAAUUUACUGCAGAACUGCAAAUUCAAGUCCAAAAUAGCUGAACUAGAUCUGAGAAUUAUUUAUUUAUUUAUUUUUCCUAUUUAGCUAUUUAGACUUAAAAUAUGAAAGCCGGUAGUAAAUUCACAAUUUGGUGUAUAAUUCAGUUUUGGCUUAGAUGUGUAAGGUUUAGGUUACUAUCCCGAUAUGUGGAUCGUUCUAGGUUUGAUAAGUAUGGUGAAGCUUACUAAGGUUAAAUUGGUAAGAUGGUUAAGUGAGUAUGUUGUGGGCUACUUUGGUUUCUAUGAGAAAAAUGUGGAUUAUUGUGGGUAAAGUGGGUAAUCAGUGGACGUUAGUGUAGGUAUGUUGUUUUUGGUUAGGUGGAUAAGUAGUUGGUAGUUAUUUUGUGUUAGGUAGAUAAUGUGAAGGUUACUGUGGGUUAGGUUGGAGCUGAUAAGGAUUAGAAGUGUAAAAUGUAGGUGGUCGAGACUGGAGAUUAAAUGCGUUCAUUACCAUUAUAUCGUAACUAGUGAUUCGGAGACAGCAGAAAUAGCGAAUGACUGGCUCAUAUUGCAGAAGAUGACUACAUAUUCUAAAGCAGGGGUAGGGCAAACUUUGGCACUCCACAUGUGGUGAACUACAUCUUCUCUGAUGCUUUCCCACCGUUAUGGCUGCAAGAGCAUUAUGGGAGGUGUAGUCCACAACAUCUGGAGUGCCAAAGGUUGUCUACCCUUUUUCUGGAAGACUAUGAAGAAGGAGAACAUAAUAUGUCAUUUUCUCUGUAUUUUUCUUUUUGCUGCUACAACAUUGAUCAGCAUAUUGAUUUGCAAUGACAUCUUUAUAGUUAGUUGCUCGCUAAACACUUAAUCACUGCAUUCGAUUUUUAAUUUGCAACUUCAAACUUUUCCAACAUUUCAAAUGAACAAAGAGGAACACUUUAAUUUUAGGGGUGUGAGUGGGGGUGUGGGCAAGGGGGUGACUUACUAAUAAAAUAGUAAAUCUGUAUUUUAAAAAAGGCUUAAAGAUUCCUGACACUUUAGUGUUAAAAACACUAUUUAUAAUCUGUAAGUAUAGUCAGUGUAUAUACCUGUGUAAAUCCAUGCAGUGUUAAAUAUAAUGUUAGAAGUAGUUAGUGUAAAGGGGGGGAGGAGGUAAUAGAGUUAAAUUAGAAUGUUUUGAGGUAUGUGGUUAUUGGGUUUAGGGUUAAAGUGGGAAUACAUUUAGUAUUGGGGUACAUGGUGUGUAUGAUUUUUAAGAUGAGGAUAACUGGGUGGAUUAAGGUAAAUGAUUUGAUUCAAGUUUAGGCUUUGAUUGCUCAGAUUUGGGACUAAAGAAAGAGUUGGUUUAGGUUUUGACAGGGGCUUAAUGGAAAAGGGGGAGGGUUAAGGGUACAGUCAUGUGGAGUUUGAAGGGUUAAUUUGCAAAGUACUCACCAGCCUAUAACUAACUCCUGCAAGUCACUUUCUGUGUGUGAGGCUGUUAAUGGGCAGGUGGAAAACAAUCCCUUCCACUUCCUGUCCAGCCUCACACACAGACACUGGAGGAGCUGGGACAGCAUUGAGUUAUACAUCCGUCUAUAGCUGUUCCUGCAGUGUUGUUACUGGCAAAGGCUCACUGUACUUCUCUUCCCUUACUCCCACCUGAGCUCCGAGAAGGCACAUUAAAAGUGCUCUAAAUAGGCACCCCCUAUAGGACAGGUGUCUGUGGGCAGGUGCCUACUCUGCUUAAAGGGAUUCUAUGGUGCCAGGAAAACGGCUUUUAUAAGGUGCCUCCCUCCCGCUGCGCUGAAGAUGUUAAAACCUCUUCAGUCACUUACCUGAAACCAGUGCCGAUGUCCAUUGGCGCUGGGUCAGGCUCGUCCCCAUGCCGGCUGGAAAUGGCUGUGUUCGUAUUAGGAUUUCCACUCAGGAAAGCAUUAAUCAAUGCUUUCCUGUGGGGACAAAUCUGACGUUGGAGGUCCUCAUGCAGAGCAUGAUGGCGUCCAGCUUCAGAUAUCGGACCUAAGGUCUGUUUCUCCCAGGAAGCCCUCUAGUGGUUAUCUGGUAGACAGCCACUGAGGACAGACAGAGCUGCAAUUUAAACAUUACAGUUUCUAUGGAAUGUUAUGUCUAACAUUUCAGCACUAAGUGCAAAAGGGACACUGCACCCAGACCACUCCAAUGAGCUGAAGUGGUCUGGGUGCCUACAGUGUUCCUUUAACCUGAAUGCUGUAAAUUCCCAUUUUCAGCUGUAUUUCUUGUGACUCAAACAUGUAAUGUUAAUGACAAUAUUACACAACAGUAUAUAUGAAGACAAAAUCAGGAUAAAUGUAAUAACGGACUAGAUAAGAAAAAUAUGAAAUAUACGUAAGUGUAGUGAGGAACAAGCUGAUAUCCAGGGAUUAAAGAAUGAAUGAACUGAGUAAACUAGUAAAAGGUCAAAGGAAUAUAGAAUAAAGAAUAACCAGGGAUUAGCUAGGUCUGUGCCAAUAGAACAGAAGACAUACAACACACUAUUUACUGUUUACCAUAGGAAACCAAGAAGGGGUACUGAUCUGUCCAUGAUUUGGGAGUUUUCUUUCUGCUGUCCGUCAUAUCUAUGAUAUCAGAGUCUAUGCCGGAGAUUUAAAUGAGAAGUAGGAGAAAGACCUAAACGAUACACUUGCUAGCAAAUCUGCUAAUACAAUGUAUAGAUUACAUUUAAAGGGACACUAUACUCACCAGAACAACUAAAGUAAACAUUGUCUUUUCAGAGAAAAUGCUGGCUCUGCUCCUGAUCUGUCUCCUUGACAGUCUCAGCCAAUCGUAUGGGAAAGCAUUGUGAUUGGCUCAGAGAAUCACUUCUUAUUAAGUCAGCCAAGCAGGCAGAUCAGGGGGGAGGCAGCAGCUGCAGACUUGAAUACAAGUAAGAUUUUACUAUAUUUAGGGAGGCCAAAGGGGGCUAGAUGGUGGUUUUAACACUAUAGGGUCAGGAAUACGUUUGUGUUCCUGAUCCUAUAGUGUUCCUGACAUACGUAGUUUGGGGCAUGCAGAUACCCUUUAAUGGUGAUGAGCACUGCUAUAAUAUAUACAGAAGUAAGGUUAUACUGAAACAGGAAGCAGUUGGACACAUGCAUGAAAACACUGUUGCCAAAAAUUGAAUAAUGUAUAAUAUUUCUAGAACAGUUUGUUUAUUUAAUUUUAAUAUUCUUUAAUAGUCUUUUAAUUUUUUAUAGUGGUCUUUAUAAUUUUUUAAUGUUUUUAAAAAUAAAACUGAUGCUGACAAAUUAACACCGAUAUUAUAUUUACUGCAGGAUCACCAAAUGCCAUGGCCAGUCCUGGUUUUACAAGUACUCACUUGGGUCUGAAUUACUAGGCCGACUCUGUGUGCUUCCACUGUCCCAUACUGCCAACUAACAGAGACCAGAAAGGCCUUGCUCGUACCAUCUUGUACUAAUGGAGACCAAGCUUCCUCUCACCCCGACCAGUCCAUCCUCCCCGGGUCUGUCCCCAGUCCUAGCAGCAGACAAAGUUGAUGGAUUCUCCAGACGUUCCCUCCGUCGCUCCCGACAGCGCAGGUCACACAGUUCUUCUCAAUUCCGCUACCAGAGCAAACAGCAGGAGCUAACCCCUUUGCCCCCUCUGAAAGGUGAGUGCAUUUGUGUCUAUCUCUCUUUUCUACUUAACUCAAAACCCCUUUGACUCCAGUGCAUCCUUUUAUAUCUGUCCUUUUGUCAAUCACAAUUUAUUAGAUCCCUAUUGGCUGGAACAAGCGC